RNAcentral lists this non-coding RNA (24 nucleotides) under Cricetulus griseus (Chinese hamster). The record is from RNAcentral. Lineage: Eukaryota; Metazoa; Chordata; Mammalia; Rodentia; Cricetidae.
UGGCUGUAGCAUACAAUAAAACAG